CACGACACUGUUUCAAGCUUAGGAAUUGUGAUUCUGUGAAGCUUAUCCUAAUUAUCCUCUAAGGAGACUCCAGCUGCCCCUUCCUGCCCCAUGUCCUGCUGCUGGGUCCUUCUGUGGCUGCGGAAAGAGAAAAUGCUCCGGUUCAGACUUUGGACUGCAUGCUGGCAGAGCAGGGAGCAGAGACAUGCCCUGUAAUGCUGAGUACCCUCAGGGUACACUGUGCUUAGCUCAGGUCACCGCUCUGCAAUGAUACUGCACGUGAAGAAGGAAGUUUACAGAAAGUGAGGAUGUAAAGAAUGAAAGAGUGAAGUCUGCUAUUUUCAGUCUAUGAACAAGAGCAAGGGGAAAAGAUCAUCAGGAUCCUUUCAACUGUGUCUCCUUGAAGUGAGUGCAGGAAACAGAGCCGUGUCCCAGGAGUGCAAAUCUAAGCUGUACUGCAGAGCAGCGAGGCACUGGCCCGUGGAUCCUGUGCUGUGAUGAGAGCACCCAGAGACUGCAGAAAUUCUCAGGGCUGUGCACAAAGGUUCUGCCAAAUCACUGCUGUGCUCGCUGCUGUCUGUCACCAGCCUCAUCCCUGAUGCUCCGGGUCAUGGUCAGUGCUGCAGGUGUGCCCACAGCCACCAACCUGACUGAGAAAACUAAAGACAGAACACUGGUGUGGUUGUUCCUGUCCUGCUCUGUGAAAUAUGGUCCCAAACAAAAGCACAUGGGAAAAGAACUUGGUGUUAAAUGAAUAGUACAGGUAUCUGCAGGAGAUAGAUGUGAGGUUUCUGUAUUAAAUUCCACUUAAAUUAAGAAAAA
This is a non-coding RNA of Meleagris gallopavo (turkey), 801 nucleotides long. NCBI's taxonomy places the organism in Eukaryota, Metazoa, Chordata, Aves, Galliformes, Phasianidae. The record is from RefSeq and is a predicted model, not a curated record.